This 221-nucleotide long non-coding RNA is filed under the name Setaria italica (foxtail millet). Its description in RNAcentral is "long non-coding RNA (SITA_LNC004571)". Lineage: Eukaryota; Viridiplantae; Streptophyta; Magnoliopsida; Poales; Poaceae. The record is from RNAcentral.
UCAGACAUAACGCAGAGAAGUCCCCGAUUUUACACAUAUACCCUCGAGUCAAGGAAAAGGAUACAGCCGAGCCCUUGGGCGAGGCGGAAAAAAGGGUCGACGAAACAGACGGGGUCGGGCGAGACGGAGAAAGCGGUCGGACGAACGGAUAGGGUCGGGCGAGGCGGAAAAGGGGUUGGACGGACAGACAGGGUCGGGCGAGGCGGAAAAGGGGUCGGGCG